Molecule: ribosomal RNA, 253 nt
Filed under: uncultured bacterium
Lineage: Bacteria
Also listed under: 1 other name
Description: partial 16S ribosomal RNA
Rfam family: Bacterial small subunit ribosomal RNA
Source: RNAcentral
UACAGAGGUCCCGAGCGUUGUUCGGAUUCACUGGGCGUAAAGGGUGCGUAGGUGGCUUUGCAAGUCUGAUGUGAAAUCUCCGGGCUUAACCCGGAAAUGGCAUUAGAAACUGUGAGGCUUGAGGCUUGGAGGGGGAACUGGAAUUCUCGGUGUAGCAGUGAAAUGCGUAGAGAUCGAGAGGAACACCAGUGGCGAAGGCGAGUUCCUGGACAAGUCCUGACACUGAGGCACGAAAGCCGGGGGAGCAAACAGG